AACACAUCAGAUCUAGCAAAAUAUCAUCAUAUAUAUAGAUUUGGGAGAGAGAAAGUUACUAAACUUAACUUAUUUUUCAACCUAGCUCUCAUCAACUCUUGUUCUCUCUAACCCUCUGAAUUUUAAAAGUCUCUCAAUCAUAUAAUCAGUCCCUAGAACACCAAAAAUAGUUAAGGAAAGCAUAGAUCAAAGAUCGGAAUCAAGAAGGUAUAAAAGCCCUAACCUAUUUUGAUAUUGCAUGCUUAGAAAUUUUUUUGUGUUUAUGUGUUUAAUCAUGUGUUAUAAGAUGUUUUUAGAUGAUCUAUGUUGAUCCAUCAUAGAUCCAUAGCAUCAAAGUGUCUUAAAAUGAUGAUUUUUCAAAACUGUUCUUGAGCUUGAAAUGUGGUCUGACAACCGAAUGUCAGUGGCCACAGAUCAUUGUUCGUUUAUGAUUUUUGUUGUUUUAAAGCUUUAAUCUAUACUCUGGCAUGUGGUCUGUAAUCUGGAAAUGGAAUCCAAGUUAUUCGAUUUCCAGAUUUCAAGUUAUAAUGUAUCACAUAUUAUUCUUAUACUCUGACCGACCAAUUAAAUACCAAAUAAACUUAGGCAGGUCAUACUAGCGAAAGAAUUCCCCGUCUCUCCCCUCCUAGUUCUUGUCUCACAUCUUAGCCAAGGAUCAUUUCCUAAGCUUUGAUACCAACUGUGACGCCCCCAAAAUUAGGUAUACAUCACCCAUCUUGGGUCGCCACUUAUAUGGUACUAAAUACAAAUACAAACUAAAUUAUACAACAGUCGUGUAAGAUACAACAAAAUAUAUACUGAGAGUUUCAAUAAGAAUAUUAUCAUCUAGACAGUAUUCAAACACAAUAGAGUCCUCAUUAUAUUUAUUAUCACACUAUUUCACAAAAUAGUGAGGACUACUAAUACACCAUCUAGGACCAUCACUCCGUUCCCCGACUCGUCCCAGCUACGUUCUCAUUUCCUGAAGAGAACAGUGAAAGAAAGGGUGAGCUCAACUAGCCCAGCAAGAAAUAUUAUGACUAAGAUAAUGCAGAAUAAAUUAUCAUUAGUCCUCAAUAAUGUUAAACUGAUAAAAUACAAUAGACAUCAAGUUUAACUGCAGCGGAAC
This 1108-nucleotide long non-coding RNA is filed under the name Panax ginseng (ginseng). Its description in RNAcentral is "long non-coding RNA (PGIN_LNC019201)". The record is from RNAcentral. Lineage: Eukaryota; Viridiplantae; Streptophyta; Magnoliopsida; Apiales; Araliaceae.